UAUGAUUGAACGUGCUUUUGGGUCC
Molecule: non-coding RNA, 25 nt
Filed under: Mus musculus (house mouse)
Lineage: Eukaryota; Metazoa; Chordata; Mammalia; Rodentia; Muridae
Source: RNAcentral